GAUGAACGCUAGCGGCAGGCCUAACACAUGCAAGUCGAGGGGUAGAACACUUCGGUGUUUGAGACCGGCGCACGGGUGCGUAACGCGUAUGCAAUCUACCUUAUACAGGGGAAUAGCCCAGAGAAAUUUGGAUUAAUGCCCCAUAGUGUUAUAGAAUCGCAUGGUUUUAUAACUAAAGUUCCAACGGUAUAAGAUGAGCAUGCGUCCCAUUAGUUAGUUGGUAAGGUAACGGCUUACCAAGACAAUGAUGGGUAGGGGUCCUGAGAGGGAGAUCCCCCACACUGGUACUGAGACACGGACCAGACUCCUACGGGAGGCAGCAGUGAGGAAUAUUGGUCAAUGGGCGCAAGCCUGAACCAGCCAUGCCGCGUGCAGGAAGACGGUCCUAUGGAUUGUAAACUGCUUUUCCAGGGAGAGAAACUUACGCACGUGUUGCGUGACUGACGGUACCCUGGGAAUAAGCAUCGGCUAACUCCGUGCCAGCAGCCGCGGUAAU
This 496-nucleotide ribosomal RNA is filed under the name uncultured bacterium. Its description in RNAcentral is "bacterial SSU rRNA". It matches the Rfam family "Bacterial small subunit ribosomal RNA", at positions 28 to 524 of the family's 1533-position model. The record is from RNAcentral.